Molecule: small nucleolar RNA, 205 nt
Organism: Clarias gariepinus (North African catfish)
Lineage: Eukaryota; Metazoa; Chordata; Actinopteri; Siluriformes; Clariidae
Product: small nucleolar RNA U3
Exons: 1
Source: RefSeq, a predicted model, not a curated record
AAGACUAUACGUUCAGGGAUCAUUUCUAUACUUUCUUACUAGGAAAUGUAAUUGGAAAGUAUUACGUCUCUAAUCAUCAUGAUGAUGAUGAGAUAUGAUGUUCUCUUCUGAGCAACUGGGUUACAGUUAAUGCUUUAUAUGAGCUAUAAUCCUUGAUGAAUAUUCUACAUUCCUUAAGAUAAGGAGAGUACGUGACCAGAGUUAU